Molecule: long non-coding RNA, 605 nt
Filed under: Salmo salar (Atlantic salmon)
Lineage: Eukaryota; Metazoa; Chordata; Actinopteri; Salmoniformes; Salmonidae
Description: lncRNA (ENSSSAG00000096389.1)
Source: RNAcentral
UUCCAAACGUGAUCUGAUUAUUGGGCUAUUGACCUCAUGAAAAUGGCGUCUGUCUAUCUUCAUUUUACUUUUUACACUUGACAUGCACUUUAAAGUCAGCGUGGAUAGGGCUUUCUGGAGACUGCUGUCCAGAUUAACUAUACAACUGCAAAUGUUCUGUAGCUCACUGUGACGUUUUUGAAUAGCAUAAGAGGAGUCAUCGAUACGCAUAUAAACAACAAUUAUUUGGGAGUCAGUCAGUCCAUUUCACAAGUGACGUUUUUCUUUUAAUAAUGGGUUCGAUGAAGAAGAUGUAGCAUGAUCGCGUUGAAUAAGGUGUUACCAUGGCUACUAUGGACACGCUGCUGCCUUUUCCUUGACAAUAACCCAGGUCGUGAUGUCCCACACCCGGUGCAUCGUGACGGUCUGGAGACAGAGCGCAACCACCAUCUGGUCCAUCUCAUCUGCUUUGCUGUGGGCUGCUGCAUUGUAAAGAGAGAGAGAGAGAAUGAGAGAGAGUGAAGAAGAUAAUGCGAGAGAGAACAAGAAAGAGAGAAAGAGAGAGGGAGAACAAGAGAGAAAGAAUGAGAGUGAGCUGGCCAAGGUUUUGGAUGUUUUACAGCAGG